UACGUAGGUGGCAAGCGUUGUCCGGAUUUAUUGGGUUUAAAGGGUGCGUAGGCGGUCUUAUAAGUCAGUGGUGAAAUACGGCAGCUCGACUGUCGAGGUGCCAUUGAUACUGUAGGACUUGAGUACAGACGAGGUAGGCGGAAUUGACGGUGUAGCGGUGAAAUGCUUAGAUAUCGUCAAGAACACCGAUAGCGAAGGCAGCUUACUAGGCUGUAACUGACGCUGAGGCACGAAAGUGUGGGGAUCAAACAGG
RNAcentral lists this ribosomal RNA (253 nucleotides) under uncultured bacterium. Its description in RNAcentral is "partial 16S ribosomal RNA". It matches the Rfam family "Bacterial small subunit ribosomal RNA", at positions 524 to 776 of the family's 1533-position model. The record is from RNAcentral.